GACGAACGCUGGCGGCGUGCUUAUCACAUGCAAGUCGAACGGAAAGGCCCUGCUUUUGUGGGGUGCUCGAGUGGCGAACGGGUGAGUAACACGUGAGUAACCUGCCCUUGACUUUGGGAUAACUUCAGGAAACUGGGGCUAAUACCGGAUAGGAGCUCCUGCUGCAUGGUGGGGGUUGGAAAGUUUCGGCGGUUGGGGAUGGACUCGCGGCUUAUCAGCUUGUUGGUGGGGUAGUGGCUUACCAAGGCUUUGACGGGUAGCCGGCCUGAGAGGGUGAUCGGCCACAUUGGGACUGAGAUACGGCCCAGACUCCUACGGGAGGCAGCAGUGGGGAAUAUUGCACAAUGGGCGGAAGCCUGAUGCAGCAACGCCGCGUGCGGGAUGACGGCCUUCGGGUUGUAAACCGCUUUCGCCUGUGACGAAGCGUGAGUGACGGUAAUGGGUAAAGAAGCACCGGCUAACUACGUG
Molecule: ribosomal RNA, 468 nt
Filed under: uncultured bacterium
Lineage: Bacteria
Description: partial 16S ribosomal RNA
Rfam family: Bacterial small subunit ribosomal RNA
Source: RNAcentral